GAGGAUAUAGCACAGUGGUAGAGUGCCUUAGCAUGCAGGAGGUCCUGGGUUCAAUCCCCAGUACCUUGA
Molecule: transfer RNA, 69 nt
Organism: Camelus ferus (Wild Bactrian camel)
Lineage: Eukaryota; Metazoa; Chordata; Mammalia; Artiodactyla; Camelidae
Rfam family: tRNA
About the family: Transfer RNA (tRNA) molecules are approximately 80 nucleotides in length. Their secondary structure includes four short double-helical elements and three loops (D, anti-codon, and T loops).
Source: Rfam